This 498-nucleotide ribosomal RNA is filed under the name uncultured bacterium. RNAcentral describes it as "partial 16S ribosomal RNA". It matches the Rfam family "Bacterial small subunit ribosomal RNA", at positions 899 to 1397 of the family's 1533-position model. The record is from RNAcentral.
ACUCAAAUGAAUUGACGGGGGCCCGCACAAGCGGCGGAGCAUGUGGAUUAAUUCGAUGCAACGCGAAGAACCUUACCUGGGUUUGACAUGCACCAGACGCAGUCAGAGAUGGCUGUUCCCUUGUGGUUGGUGUGCAGGUGGUGCAUGGCUGUCGUCAGCUCGUGUCGUGAGAUGUUGGGUUAAGUCCCGCAACGAGCGCAACCCUCGUUCCAUGUUGCCAGCGCGUGAUGGCGGGGACUCAUGGGAGACUGCCGGGGUCAACUCGGAGGAAGGUGGGGAUGACGUCAAGUCAUCAUGCCCCUUAUGUCCAGGGCUUCACACAUGCUACAAUGGCAGGUACAGAGGGCUGCGAGACCGCAAGGUGGAGCGAAUCCCUUAAAGCUUGUCUCAGUUCGGAUUGGGGUCUGCAACUCGACCCCAUGAAGUCGGAGUCGCUAGUAAUCGCAGAUCAGCAACGCUGCGGUGAAUACGUUCCCGGGCCUUGUACACACCGCCCGU